This 729-nucleotide ribosomal RNA is filed under the name uncultured eukaryote. RNAcentral describes it as "SSU rRNA". It matches the Rfam family "Eukaryotic small subunit ribosomal RNA", at positions 670 to 1426 of the family's 1831-position model. The record is from RNAcentral.
CGGGUGCACUGAUCCGGCCGGGCCUUUCCCUCUGUGGAACCCCAUGGCCUUCACUGGCUGUGCGGGGGAAACAGGACUUUUACUGUGAAAAAAUUAGAGUGCUCCAGGCAGGCCUAUGCUCGAAUACAUUAGCAUGGAAUAAUAGAAUAGGACGCGUGGUUCUAUUUUGUUGGUUUCUAGGACCGCCGUAAUGAUUAAUAGGGACAGUCGGGGGCAUCAGUAUUCAAUUGUCAGAGGUGAAAUUCUUGGAUCUAUUGAAGACUAACUACUGCGAAAGCAUUUGCCAAGGAUGUUUUCAUUGAUAAGGAACGAAAGUUAGGGGAUCGAAGACGAUCAGAUACCGUCGUAGUCUUAACUAUAAACUAUGCCGACUAGGGAUCGGACGAUGUUAUUUCUUGACGCGUUCGGCACCUUUCGAGAAAUCAAAGUGCUUGGGCUCCAGGGGGAGUAUGGUCGCAAGGCUGAAACUUAAAGAAAUUGACGGAAGGGCACCACCAGGGGUGGAAUCUGCGGCUUAAUUUGACUUAACACGGGGAAACUCACCAGGUCCAGACACAGUGAGGAUUGACAGAUUGAGAGCUCUUUCUUGAUUCUGUGGGUGGUGGUGCAUGGCCGUUCUUAGUUGGUGGAGUGAUUUGUCUGCUUAAUUGCGAUAACGAACGAGACCUUAACCUGCUAAAUAGCCCGUACUGCUCUGGCAGUUCGCCGGCUUCUUAGAGGGACUAUCGG